AUGAUUUUAAGGUUCAUGUGCGUGCUUUGGAAUUAUUGGAUGAGGCUUUGUUGAGAAGAUAUUCCUAUGCUGAGUUGGACAAAAAUUCACUGCUGGAUUAAUUGUCUGCGUUAUUUGCUUAGUGAUAUCAUUUUUUUUUUCUGCUUGUUUUUUUUAUUGCUACAUGAAUUUGAAUAUUUUUAUGUUAAAUUAAAUAAUGUAAUUGACCAAAUGAAAUUUCUAGUUGUGAAAGAGCUUCAUGUUGUUUUUCCCCUCUUAAAAGUUUAGACAUGGAAACUAGCAUGAUUUCUUCUUCACAUGCUUAGAGAAUAAUUAGGUUAAAUUUUAUGUGGUAGUAUAAUAUACGCAUUCAUUCUAAUGAUAUUUUACAUUUCUCUUUGAUAAUUGCAUGAAAUUUUUGAAAUUCUAAGUCAUUCCUAAGUUCUUGUCAUUUAUGAUUCAUGCAAAAGAUUCAUUUAUGAUUACAUGACUCUAUUCAAGAUUAAAACCUACUUUCUGUUAGCCAUGAGAUUAUAAUUGAUAUAGUAAACCUGGUCAUUUAUUCAAACCAUGGUGUUCAACUAUUGUAAGUUUGUCUCAAACUCAAGUAAAACUAGUAUUCUUUUUUUUCCCAUUCUAGAGAUAUUCUCAGGACUGUUGAUUGAAAAUUGGCUGUCAUAGGUGAGAGACUAGUAAAUGACGAAGGAGUAUUUAUUAAGGAGAAAAUAAUGGGAAGAAUCCACUUUAGUGUUGCGUUCGGUAUCCAAGGGAACUAAAUUAUUUACUUCUAUUUUAAUAGCAUUUGAAACAAUUAUAACUGCACUUUAAUGAUAUUUUAGAAUGAAUCUACUGCUGAAUUCAUAGAACUUUUUUUUUUUUUACUGUGAUUUGUAAUACUGCAUAGUAUUUUAGAAUGAAUCUAUUGCUGAAUGCAUUGAACUUUUUUUUUACCGUGAUUUGUAAUACUGCAUGGUGUAUGGUUUCAAUUGCAAAACAAGUUUCAUUUGGAUGUUGGGUUUAGCCUACAGUGUGGCUGAUUUUGAAUGGCAGAAUUUAAUAGUUUUGUAGACAUAGGAUGCCAAAAUACACCACUUUCUCUUUAAUUAAUCAAAGUAAACAAUUUAAUUAAAGUGCAAUCAGAAAAUUAUGUUCUAUCUUUUGGCUUCAAUAAUGUGCAUCAAAUCAUUACAUUAACAUUAUAUUCCACAUUUGGUGCGUAAACAACGCAUGAUUUCCAUGAAUAUAAUUUCAAGCUCAUUGCUACUAUAGUCCUUGUCCCAAGAUAUGUUGGAUAAUGAAGCAAUGGUUCUAGCAAAUUUGGUUUCUAGAGUUGGCCACAUCUCAAUGCUUCUUGUCUAAAUGUCUGUAGAGUGUGAACAACCCUAUUUUGAAGGAGAUUCUUCACAGCGGCAACAUAUCGAAAACUGCCUGUGUUUUUGUUUACUGCCUCAUCACUCCCCUACUGGAAGAAACUGUUUACAGAGGAUUUCUGUUGACGUCUCUUGCCUCCACAAUGAACUGGCAGAAAGCAGUUUUUGUAAGUUCAGCUGUUUUUAGUGCAGCUCACUUUUCUGGUGAGAAUUUUUUACAAUUGUUUAUAAUUGGAUGGAUCCUUGGAUGCUGUUACUGCUGGACUGGAAACUUGAGUUCAUCCAUUGCUAUACAUUCCUUGUACAAUGCAAUGAUACUGAUUGUAACUUUUGUAUCUUAACCAUAAAGUAAUGAAUGAAAGUCAUUUUCACCCAUAUGCACAAGGUUCUCUUUGAUCUAGACAUGGUGGAAUUCAUGAAGCUUCCCACAUGGAUCACUGGCCAUUUUAAGGAGACAAAAUAAUUGUUGAUUUGGUCCAUAUAAUCAUACUCAUUUCAGAAAUUCAUUUGUCUAGCCUUUUGUCACCCUCCUCUGCCUGUAC
RNAcentral lists this unclassified non-coding RNA (1891 nucleotides) under Hevea brasiliensis (rubber tree). Lineage: Eukaryota; Viridiplantae; Streptophyta; Magnoliopsida; Malpighiales; Euphorbiaceae. The record is from RNAcentral.